Molecule: non-coding RNA, 26 nt
Filed under: Mus musculus (house mouse)
Lineage: Eukaryota; Metazoa; Chordata; Mammalia; Rodentia; Muridae
Source: RNAcentral
CAGAAAUUUUGUGCUCGAGUUCUCUU